Long non-coding RNA from Oxyura jamaicensis (ruddy duck), 1042 nucleotides. RefSeq lists it as uncharacterized. The transcript has 2 exons. The record is from RefSeq and is a predicted model, not a curated record. NCBI's taxonomy places the organism in Eukaryota, Metazoa, Chordata, Aves, Anseriformes, Anatidae.
AAGGACCCACACCAACACUCCUGACCAAAAGCCUCCAACACCUCAAAGUUCUCAUCUUCUAAUACAUCUCCAUAAAUUGACUGUCCACCUGUUCCACCAUGGUCAGUUACGUCACCUCUCUGACACACAAAGUCAGUAACUAUUCUGUGAAAUUUGGUGUUCUUUAAUCCAAAUCCUUUCUCUCCUGUGUACAGGGCCCUGAGAUUUUCAGCUGUUUGAGGGACAAUAUUUGAAAACAGCUCCAUGGUUACAUGUCCUAAAGAUUUUACCUCCACCGCUGGUAAGGACACAAUUGGCUCAAAAUGGAUAUCACCACUAUGUACCACUUCAUCAUCACUACCACCUUCAUCUUCAUCUGCUUUACUGGGUUUCUGUGCUCCAAACACAGUUGUUCCAGUAUUCACCCAUUUGCAGUCUUCAUCUUAUGAGCCAAAAGCAAUGUCUCCAGAGUUUUUGGAAGCCAGAUAUGCAAAUCACAAGUCUGAAGUAUUGCUAAAACCAAAUUAGACAAUUUUGUUUUCUUGUGUUGACUCUGAACACUCUGAAUCACCUUCUUUUUUAGUUGACAAGUCUACAGGUUUGUCAUCAGCUAGUGAUAAAGUCUGCAACAUAUGAACAUGGUCUGUGGUAGAAUCUGGUUCUUCACUGCUAGCAGCUGACUACACAUAUGCUGUCACCUCAUCAGCUGAUGGACUGGGUACUUCUUCCUUACUGGUACAGACUGAAUCAUUUGAGCUGGUAACGUCAUCGUCUUUGGUGUUUUGAAUUUUAACUUCUGUCUUCCAAGGCCUGGGUUACUUCUCCGGCAGAAGAGCCUGCUACCCCUGCUAAGGACCCAUACCAACACCCUUGACAACAGCUAACAAUGCCCUGCAAGCCACUUCAUGGACUGAGGAUACUCUGAUCUCCGUGCUCUGGGAAUAUUUUCUGUAUGAAAUGCAUAGCUGCUGAUGGUCACUAUGCUUGCACCUCUGACAGGGCCCUUCUGUUUGUGCUCCUUCCUUUUCAUGAGUCUUCCUCAAUAAAGUUCUAAUGCAUGCCA